UUUGGAAAUAAUAAAUCAGACUAUUGUUGACCACCAACCUACCCAGCCAAUUUAUUUUGCUCCAUUUGGAUUUAGCUGUUUUCACUUGGCUAGUUUGCACGAUCGCAGAAAACGCUCUGCGACCCAACAUUUUGGCGCCCAACGUGGGGCUCGAGUAAGUAUUCGCAUCUGGUAUUUCGUGGACACUUGGUCAUCAGCACGGAACUCCACCAUUGGACUACACCGCUGGACUUUAUCAUCCUCGUUGAACAUUGGAACCUAAUUGCCAUAACCAUUGCCCAGCAGCACUAGUAUUGUGGUCUCCACUGGUCUCUUCUGGACUCCUGUUUCACCACCAUUACGCCGCCGCUACUGGUUUGCCUUCCGUCGUCCACCCAAACGUAAGUAACCACUAUACUUGCAAAUUGAUACAGAAUGUCAUUGGAUUUGCUAAAGCAACAACGUGCAAAUGUCAAGAAAAACAUCACUCGAAUCAAAAAUAUCAUCGAGGGUAGUUUGCGAUCAGGUGGAAAAGCACUUUCACCUGCUGAACACAAGUGCCGCCUGGGUAUCCUGGAAUCUUAUUUCAAGCAAAUCCUGACGAUUCAGACAGACAUCGAAAGGUUGGAUGCCGAGGAUAGCAGAUAAUUGAUCGUGAGUAUAGCUUGUCCAACAAUGAAAAAUUCAAUCACCUGCGGAAUUGCCUACAAGGUCAAGCGUUGGAAACAGUGGACGCAUUUCAGGUAACAAAUGAGAAUUAUCCAAAGGCAUUGGAUAGGCUAAAGGCUCGCUAUGAUAAUAAUUUUUUUGGAAAAUAUUUCAUCAUUGUUCGAACUACCAGUUGUUACUAAAACAAAUGGUAUUCAGCUUAGAAGUCUUAUCGAUAAGGCUUCAUCAAAUAUGGAUCUCUCUUGUCGCUCGGUACUGACAUGCAAAUAUCACAAGCUAUGCUAAUCUAUUUAGUUUUGCAGAAGUCCGAUGAACAAACCAGCAAGAAAUUGAAAGAAUCACUAGAUUUCAAAUCAUUUCCAACAUGGGAAGACUGCACUAGGAUAUUGGAGAGACACUGCCAGUAUUAGGAGUCUAUUGACAGCGCUCACACCAGCAACCCUGUUACCAACAAAUCGCCAUCAAGCAAGUCAAAGGGCCAGCAACGAGGAUACGCUUUUUCUUGCUCCAACACACCAUGUCCAAUUUGUUCCAAUUCACGCCAUAAACCUUUGAAGUGCAAGCGCUUCAAGGCACUUAGCAUCGCUCAGCGCUUUGAUAAUGCAAAGAAGUUUGGUCUGUGUAUCAAUUGCCUUUCAAAGGGGCAUCAAGUAACGCAUUGCCAAUCAUCGCAUCGGUGCAAGGUUUGUCAAAGGCAACACCACACUCUACUUCAUCGUGGAUCAGCACCAAACCAACAAGCCACAAGUCCUUCAUCUUCAACAACGGAGGCUACUGUACAUACACAUAUGAAAAACUCGUCCAGUGACAGCAUCAUUCUUGCAACUGCAAAGGUUUGGGUUCGUGACUCAUCUGGCAACUACAAAUUGGGUAAGGCACUGUUGGUCUCCUGUUCCCAGGUUAACUUCAUCAGGAAUGAAUUUUCGCAAAAAUUAAGGUUGUCAAGAAGUAAGCAGAAUAUUGAAAUCCAAUGCAUUGUCACUGGUUUCAAGCUCCCAUUGACCUUCUGCAUCACAACCCACAUUGCCUAUCAACCGGAUCCAGAAAUCGACAUUUCUUCAUGGAACAUCCCAGGUAAUACUACAUUGGCAGAUGAGGAAUUCCACGUGCUAGGGAAGGUCGACUUGUUGUUAGGUACUGAAACGUUUUUCAGCCUACUGUCUGUCGGUCAAAUUAAACUAGGAACUAAUUUGCCAAUACUGCAAAAACGCUGUUAGGAUGGGUCGUGUCUGGACGAUAUCAAACAUUUACUUACAGCUAAUGAAUCUCUGGAUGCAUGGUUGGAGAAAUUGUGGAAAUUGGAGGAGGUUGCUACUGCCGCGGAUCCUUGGACUCGUGAACAGCACAGUUGCGAACGAUUAUAUCUCAAUACAGUCUCCAGAAACUCUUGUGGCAGAAUAGUUGUAAGAUUGCCCUUGAAGGAUGAUCCUAGUUGUUUGGGCGACUCAUACGUAACGGCUUUGAGACGGUUUCAUGCACAAGGACGUCGUUUCGAGAAGUUACCUCUUCUAAAGGCGCACUACAUCGAAUUCAUGGAUGAAUACAAAGGUUUGCGAAACAUGAGCGUUGUGGAAAACCCAAAGGUAAAUGAACCACAUUAUUAUAUUCCUCCUCACUGUGUUCUGAAGCCAACAAGUACAACAACCAAGCUGAGGGUCGUAUUCGAUGCAUCCUGUCGAACGACAACCCAAAAAUCGCUUAACGAUUUACAGAUAGUAGGACCUACUUUGCAAGCUGAACUAUUCAUUCUGCUUUUGCGCUUUCGGCUUUAUCGGUAUGCGCUCACCGCCGACAUCAUCAAAAUGUAUCGGCAAGUUGUAAUGCACGAAGACGACCGGAAAUACCAAUAUAUUUUAUGGAGGAGUUCACCCACUGAGGAGGUUUCGACAUAUCAACUCAAUACGGUAACUUAUGGAAUGGCAUCUGCUCCAUACUUAGCUAUACGGAGCAAAUAAGGCAAGAGGUAACUCAAUUGCUAGAUUUAGGUGGAUUUAAAUUAGCUAAAUAGCACUCUAAUCAACAACGGUUCAGAGAAGACAGUUUAGCUAAGGAUCUUAAUUUGGAUACAUCUAUCACAAGCACACCUGGAAUGAAAUGGGACCAAAACAUCGAUUGUUUCCUUUUUUCUUUUCAACCACCUUUGCGAUCAACUAAUUGCAUCACCAAACGGUCGAUUCUUUCCACGGCAUCAUCGCUAUUCGAUCCUCUUGGUCUCCUGGCUCCAGUAAUCAUAAAAUCAAAAAUCCUUUUGCAGGAAUUACGGCUCCUGAAGUUAAACUGGGAUGAGACGGUUCCCCAAACCAUCGAAUAUGCGUGGAAGAGCUUUCUCAGCGAAAUAUCGGACCUUUCGUUAAUCAAGGUGCAUAGGUAUUGCCUUUCGGUAGGUGCUCAGUUAUUCCAAUUGCAUGGCAUUGUCAGCGAAGAUGGAGCAACAUUCGUUCGCUUGCUCACAGCAAAAUCAAGAGUUGCACCGUUGAAAAAACAAUCACUGCCGAAAUUGGAGCUUUGUGGCGCUGUUCUUCUCGCUCGUUUACUUGCUAAUAUUAUACCAAUUUUUUUCUGAUAAAUCUUUUAAUGUUUUUGUUUCGACAGACUCGCAGAUACAUUGGCUAAAAGUGCAUUCAGCUACAUUAUCAACCUUUGUCGGCAACAGGAUGUCGGAAAUCCAAUGGAGGCACGUUCCCACACAAGACAACCCAGCGGCCAUAAUAUCUAGAGGAUGCACCGUGAAUGAGCUGUCCAAAUCAAUGUGGUAUGAUGACCCCAAGUUUUUAUACAAGGAGAUGGAAAACUUGCCGAGGAAUAAGUGCGAUAGCCUAGACCUGGAAGUCAUUGAAAGUGAAAAACGGAAAUCAGCAUUUAAACCGGUUAAAGAUCGACAUCUUCAUCGGAAAAACUACUACGCUGGACCUAAGGCACUCGUAGCAUUGAUAAGACUGCAAUUUUGGAUAAUAAACGCACGCGACGUGGCAAGGCGGAUCGUGAGGUCAUGCAUACACUGCGUACAAUACAAACCAAAACUUUAACAACAAGUCAUGGGACAUUUACCAGUCGAGCGGCUUACUCCAUCACGCCCCUUCGCGCGCUGUGGCAUCGACUUCUGUGGACCAGUCAACGUUUACUUACGGAUUCGUGGCAAGACACCUUACAAGGCGUAUAUCGCGAUCUUCGUAUGCCUUGCAUCAAAGGCAGUGCAUAUCGAAACCGUAACCGACUUAUCUACAGACGCAUUUUUGUCAUCACUAAAGAGAAUGAUUGGGAGAAGAGGCCUACCCUCUGACAUUUAUUGCGACAAUGCUAAAAACUUUGUCGGCGCUUGUAGUAAACUUGCAGAUUUAAAGGCAUUUCUAUUCAAACAUGAAAAUAAAAAUGCAAUCAUAAAUUACUGGGCUAAUGAAUUUAUCAACUUUUAUUUUAUAUCCCCUAGAGCACCUCAUUUUAUCGGUAUAUGGGAGGCGGCAGUCAAGUCAGCGAAGGGUCAUCUCAACCGCAGCAUUGGCAGAGCUAGACUGACAUUUGAAGAGUUAUCGACAGUUCCGGUAGAAAUAGAGGCGGUAUUUAAUUCCCGGCCGAUAUCACCAUUAUCAGCAGACCCAAGCGACUACGAGGCACUGACACGUGCACAUUUCAUCAUUGGCAGAUCCCUACAAGCUCUUCCGGAGAAAAUCAUAUCAACUAAUAUAGACAACUUGCAGCGAUGGACCCAAGUGACACGCAUUAAGCAAGCAUUUUGGAAAAGAUGGUCUCACAAAUAUGUUAAUGAGCUUCAAGCACGCUCAAAAUGGUUUUCGGAUCGUCUCAACAUCAACGAAAACACAAUGGUCAUCAUCCACGAAGACAACGUACCACCACAGAAAUGGCAUCUUGGGAGAGUAAUCAAUUGUAUACCAG
Rhagoletis pomonella (apple maggot) is the source of this 4539-nucleotide long non-coding RNA. RefSeq lists it as uncharacterized. The transcript is spliced from 3 exons. The record is from RefSeq and is a predicted model, not a curated record. Lineage: Eukaryota; Metazoa; Arthropoda; Insecta; Diptera; Tephritidae.